AACCCAUAAGACCUUCCAAAUCCUCAGUAAUCUUUUAGCGUCUCUUUCUGCUCUUAUUUUCUUUUCUUUCUUUUUUUUUAAAGGACUAGUGAUAGAGUUUGAGAUGUCUUGAAAAAUUCUUGAAUAUCCUUGAUUUUUUUGAAAAUCACCCAAAAAAUUUGUGUGUCCUUAAAUUUUACAUCUGGUUAUGUUGUAUUUGAUAUAUCAGAAGACCAGGCCUUUUCCUAUUUUGCCAUGGAGACUUGUAUCAAAUAGCGCAGCUCAUAUGUCACAUAUUUCCUUCUUCAGUAACAAAGAACCAAGUAAGUUAGCCGGAAACCGACAUUCUUGAAACAUUCAUUACGGCUUUUGAAAUUUUUUUGGAAUGUCCUUAAAAGCCCUUUGAAAAUUGUGUUGAAGUUCAGGAUACAUUAAGUUCUCAGCUGUCCCAUUUUUAAAAUUGGCCUUCUCACUUUUAAACCUCUUUUCACCCAAAAUUUUUAAAGUUCUUAGUUUCCUCUCGGUAGUUACUCCUGAAAAUUUCAGACAUUGUCAUUGAAUUCAGCAGAUUUCAGUGCUGCCAGUCGCUGUUACUUAAUUUGAGAAACCUACGCGUAUCAUGAGUACAUUUCUUCUUUUUCGUUUCAGGUGAUGCAGCCUCUGCAAACAGUAGGAAGGUAACCAAUGAGCAAGUAGACGAUGGUGUAACGUGGACGUAUGCUAACCUGUCUGCUACAACCCAAGAACGAAUUAAAAGGUUUGAGCAAGAAACCCGUGCUAUGCUACAAAGAGACAGGCUCAGAACGGAAAACGAGAAGGAGAGACUGGAGAGGGAGUGGCAACAAGCUAAACGGGAACUGGAAGCUGAUGAUGCUUUAGAUCGGCUAGCGGAUGAUCCCUCAGCACUACAUGAACUAUCGGAAACAACAUUGUUAAACAAAGAAUCAUCAUCUGAAGAUUUAAGUCCGACAUUAAACAAUAAAGUGUCCAACAUGAAAAGGUUCAAAACAGGAAACGAAGUCUCUACAAUUUCCAAUGGAAAAUCUAGUGGCUCUCUUGACUCUUUGAAAGAAUCUAGUGUUACAAUGGGAAGGACACCCAGUAAUGCUUCCGAUGAAGGAAGUGAUUUAUUCACAAGCCUUACAUCUACUUUUGACAAGAAAUUGAAAUCUUUACUAAAAUCUGAGGAACUUUGUAAUGAUGACGUAGAAGAGCAUGUCAGUACAAUGCACGAUGAGAAAGUAUCAACAAAAUUUCAAGAUCCCAGCCUGCAUAGAUCCUUGGAAAAGCAGUACAAGCAGGUAUCAAAAAGUGAGAAAGAUGUCAAAUUAGACAACAAAGAAAACUGUGAUAAAAUUUUAGAGCACAAAAGAUUGACAAAAGUGAACUCAUUCGAGAAGAAUAACGAAAUCAAAGCAAGCAACAAAGCGAUUGAAGAUAACAAAGUCUUGAGUGAUGCUCUGAAGAAAGAAUUGACAGAUUGUCCCAGCAGCGACAAAAAAGCUCAAAAGUUUCAAUCCCUGAAUAAUGAGCUUUUGAAUUUAUUACAGGAAAAGACCUGUGUUAAACUUCGCCGUUCUGAAAGUUUGAACAAGCGCUCAGAGAAAGUUGACAACACCAGUCUAAAACUUCGUCGCUCCGAGUCUCUGAACAAGUAUGACAAGUGUAAAAACAUUGAGAACAGAAUUUCAAAACUAGAGUUUCUUUCAAAAAAUUGUGAAAAUAAAGCCAACAACUUCAAAAGGUCCGACUCGUUAACAAAAACUGAAAAGACAGAAUCAAACUUGAUGAAGAGGAGGCAACAAGAGCUCUCUAAAAAUCGGUGGUCGCGGGAAAAAGAGAACACGACAAAACUGAAAAGGAAAAACGGUAUCUCGUCGAAUAGGUCUAUCAAACGGCGGCAUACGGUGGGCGGAACAAAAGACUUUGACAAAAUCAACUGGCUGGACAACAAGCAGAAAGAGGCGAUAGAAAAUAACGAAGAGUUGAAGAAAGAAAGGCGAACAAGCUCGCCUGAUCUUAGUUCCUCACGUUUAACAAGUGUUUUAGUGGAAGUUAUUUUAAGACCUCGCAGUCUUGCUGAAUCUAAUUUGGCAUCACGACUCUUUAAUUUACCGUUAGAGUCCCACGUAUGA
Molecule: long non-coding RNA, 2114 nt
Filed under: Bemisia tabaci
Lineage: Eukaryota; Metazoa; Arthropoda; Insecta; Hemiptera; Aleyrodidae
Description: lncRNA ENSASIAIIG006903
Source: RNAcentral